UACGUAGGGGGCAAGCGUUAUCCGGAUUUACUGGGUGUAAAGGGAGCGUAGACGGCAUGGCAAGCCAGAUGUGAAAUACCGGGGCUCAACCCCGGGACUGCAUUUGGAACUGUUAAGCUGGAGUGUCGGAGAGGCAGGCGGAAUUCCUAGUGUAGCGGUGAAAUGCGUAGAUAUUAGGAGGAACACCAGUGGCGAAGGCGGCCUGCUGGACGAUAACUGACGUUGAGGCUCGAAAGCGCGGGGAGCAAACAGG
Molecule: ribosomal RNA, 253 nt
Filed under: uncultured bacterium
Lineage: Bacteria
Description: partial 16S ribosomal RNA
Rfam family: Bacterial small subunit ribosomal RNA
Source: RNAcentral